CCUACGGGUGGCAGCAGUGAGGAAUAUUGGUCAAUGGGCGGGAGCCUGAACCAGCCAAGUCGCGUGAGGGACGACGGUCCUAUGGAUUGUAAACCUCUUUUGUCGGGGAACAAAGGCGCCCACGGGUGGGCGGAUGAGUGUACCCGAAGAAAAAGCAUCGGCUAACCCCGCGCCAGCAGCCGCGGUAAUACGGAGGAUGCGAGCGUUAUCCGGAUUUAUUGGGUUUAAAGGGAGCGUAGAUGGGUUGUUAAGUCAGUUGUGAAAGUUUGCGGCUCAACCGUAAAAUUGCAAUUGAUACUGGCAGGCUUGAGUACAGUUGAGGUAGGCGGAAUUCGUGGUGUAGCGGUGAAAUGCUUAGAUAUCACGAAGAACUCCGAUUGCGAAGGCAGCUUACUAAACUGCCACUGACAUUGAUGCUCGAAAGUGUGGGUAUCAAACAGGAUUAGAUACCCGAGUAGUC
This 460-nucleotide ribosomal RNA is filed under the name uncultured bacterium. RNAcentral describes it as "partial 16S ribosomal RNA". It matches the Rfam family "Bacterial small subunit ribosomal RNA", at positions 338 to 795 of the family's 1533-position model. The record is from RNAcentral.